AGUGAACGCUGGCGGUAGGCCUAACACAUGCAAGUCGAACGGCAGCACAGUAAGAGCUUGCUCUUACGGGUGGCGAGUGGCGGACGGGUGAGGAAUACAUCGGAAUCUACUUUUUCGUGGGGGAUAACGUAGGGAAACUUACGCUAAUACCGCAUACGACCUACGGGUGAAAGCAGGGGAUCUUCGGACCUUGCGCGAUUGAAUGAGCCGAUGUCGGAUUAGCUAGUUGGCGGGGUAAAGGCCCACCAAGGCGACGAUCCGUAGCUGGUCUGAGAGGAUGAUCAGCCACACUGGAACUGAGACACGGUCCAGACUCCUACGGGAGGGAGCAGUGGGGAAUAUUGGACAAAGGGCGCAAGCCUGAUCCAGCCAUACCGCGUGGGUGAGGAAGGCCUUCGGGUUGUAAAGCCCUUUUGUUGGGAAAGAAAAGCAGCAGGUUAAUACCCCGCUGUUCUGACGGUACCCAAAGAAUAAGCACCGGCUAACUUCGUG
Molecule: ribosomal RNA, 492 nt
Filed under: uncultured bacterium
Lineage: Bacteria
Description: partial 16S ribosomal RNA
Rfam family: Bacterial small subunit ribosomal RNA
Source: RNAcentral